AACGGAAAGGCUCCAGCUUGCUGGAGUACUCGAGUGGCGAACGGGUGAGUAACACGUGGGUAAUCUGCCCUGCACUCUGGGAUAAGCCUGGGAAACUGGGUCUAAUACUGGAUAUGACCUUUCUCCUUAUGGGGUUUGGUGGAAAGUUUUUCGGUGUAGGAUGAGCCCGCGGCCUAUCAGCUUGUUGGUGGGGUGAUGGCCUACCAAGGCGACGACGGGUAGCCGGCCUGAGAGGGUGAUCGGCCACAUUGGGACUGAGAUACGGCCCAGACUCCUACGGGAGGCAGCAGUGGGGAAUAUUGCACAAUGGGCGGAAGCCUGAUGCAGCGACGCCGCGUGAGGGAUGACGGCCUUCGGGUUGUAAACCUCUUUCAGCAGGGACGAAGCGUAAGUGACGGUACCUGCAGAAGAAGCACCGGCUAACUACGUGCCAGCAGCCGCGGUAAUACGUAGGGUGCGAGCGUUGUCCGGAAUUACUGGGCGUAAAGAGCUCGUAGGCGGUUUGUCACGUCGUCUGUGAAAUCCUAGGGCUUAACCCUGGACGUGCAGGCGAUACGGGCUGACUUGAGUACUACAGGGGAGACUGGAAUUUCUGGUGUAGCGGUGGAAUGCACAGAUAUCAGAAGAACACCGAUGGCGAACGCAGGUCUCUGGGUAGUAACUGACGCUGAGGAGCGAAAGCAUGGGUAGCGAACAGGAUUAGAUACCCUGGU
This 713-nucleotide ribosomal RNA is filed under the name uncultured Actinomycetales bacterium. RNAcentral describes it as "bacterial SSU rRNA". It matches the Rfam family "Bacterial small subunit ribosomal RNA", at positions 65 to 791 of the family's 1533-position model. The record is from RNAcentral. Lineage: Bacteria; Bacillati; Actinomycetota; Actinomycetes; Actinomycetales.